RNAcentral lists this non-coding RNA (27 nucleotides) under Bombyx mori (domestic silkworm). The record is from RNAcentral. Lineage: Eukaryota; Metazoa; Arthropoda; Insecta; Lepidoptera; Bombycidae.
UAAAGACAGUGUGCUUGCCAUGACGUG